CUACUGCUUUAUGAGCUCAAAUCAAACGUUUUUCUGUAGAUAAUAAAAAAUAAUGAUCCAAAAUAGGAUGAAUCCUCACUGCAGAAACAAUAAAUAGUGGGGAGAGGGCGUCAAUCUGAUCCGUUUGGGAGACAAACGAGCCGACUCUUUUACGUGAACGGAGCUGAUUGAGCCGGCUCACUAAAAAGAGUCCGAAUGCCCAUCACAAAUAGACGCAAUUAGCUGCUGUACUUUUAUUUUGAAACCCCGUCGGAAGUGUUUUUAUUAUUUUUUACAGGAUCACACACUGCCCAGAAUGCACUUCGUCGAGACAGCUCUUGGUGGCGUUAUGAUGUGGGGAUAUCUCGGCAUCUACAAUUGCAUUUUGCUGUGGGACCUUAUAAAACGGUGUUUGGAUGUUGUAAAGACAAUUUGUCUGUGGCAUUUAGCUACUUUUUUUUCUGAUUCAAAGAUAUGGCUUAGUACAAAGAUGCAGAAAGCGAGGCUGGAAGAGCCAUGCAGCUGAUUUUUUUUUUUUAAAGCGUGAAAGAGAACAACUUUCACAGCUAAAGGAGAAAAUUGCUCAUGUCAGUCAACUUGUUAACGUUAGUUAGCUAAGUAACGUUAUUUUUCUUGCAUAUUCAAUGCUUUGUAGUUACUGAAAGCCUUCAACAUUACCUAUUUCCACCCCUCUUAACCAUCUGAAUGUCUCCUGCAGGACAACAUGGUCAAGUCCAACGUCAAUAAAAGUUCAAAGCUCAAUUAUGAUGCGGUGGAAGCAGAGCUCAAAUCCAGCACUGUUGGUCUGGUGACACUCAAUGAUAUGAAGGCCAGGCAGGAGGCUCUUGUGAAAGAAAGAGAAAAGCAACUGGCCAAGAAAGAGCAAACAAAGGAGUUGAUGCUUGACUCAUGAUUAUGUAGGAAGUCUUCUGUCGAAAGCUGUUGUCAGUAUCUCGUCUCUGCUCUCCUGUCUACCACCCGGAAGCUGGAGAAGAAGAGAAAGGAUGCCAGUUUAUCCUUUAAUCCUGAAGAGGAGGAGACGGAGGAGGAAGAGGACUGUGAGUGGUGUCAAUAAUAAAUCCACAAUACUUAUGUAUCUUAGCUGAUUAGCUGUUGUUGUCUCACCUGUUGUUUUAGCUAGCUCUCCCAAUCAACACCUGCGAUUACUUUAUGCCUCGCUGUAUGUCUCUCUCAAAUGUCAAUAUGCCUUGUAUACUG
Molecule: non-coding RNA, 1197 nt
Organism: Oncorhynchus mykiss (rainbow trout)
Lineage: Eukaryota; Metazoa; Chordata; Actinopteri; Salmoniformes; Salmonidae
Source: RefSeq, a predicted model, not a curated record